This is a non-coding RNA of Schistosoma curassoni, 45 nucleotides long. Lineage: Eukaryota; Metazoa; Platyhelminthes; Trematoda; Strigeidida; Schistosomatidae. The record is from Rfam.
AUCCAGCUGAUGAGUUUUAAAUAGAACGAAACGCAUUUCAUGGAU